Molecule: long non-coding RNA, 226 nt
Filed under: Lathyrus oleraceus (garden pea)
Lineage: Eukaryota; Viridiplantae; Streptophyta; Magnoliopsida; Fabales; Fabaceae
Description: Pisum sativum (pea) long non-coding RNA (PSAT_LNC001066)
Source: RNAcentral
UUGAAGGAUAUCCCAACUCUUGUUUUCUUUUUUUUUAUUAUUGUCUCCUCUAGUUUAUCAUAUCCUCCACGAGAUAAUCUAUGAGGAUGAAUAUUUUUUGUCUUAUUCUCCUUUCCUUUUUGACUCUUAGCCAGGAAUUCAAUAGUGUUGCGAGACUUGAAAAAUAUCUCCCAAAUGUAUUUAUCAAGAAAACUAUAAGUCACAUAUAAAGGCAUUAAGUUAGUAC